UACGUAGGGUGCAAGCGUUGUCCGGAAUUAUUGGGCGUAAAGAGCGUGUAGGCGGCCAGGUAGGUCCGCUGUGAAAACUCGAGGCUCAACCUCGAGAUGUCGGCGGAAACCAUCUGGCUAGAGUCCGGAAGAGGAGAGUGGAAUUCCUGGUGUAGCGGUGAAAUGCGCAGAUAUCAGGAAGAACACCCGUGGCGAAGGCGGCUCUCUGGGACGGUACUGACGCUGAGACGCGAAGGCCAGGGGAGCAAACGGG
This 253-nucleotide ribosomal RNA is filed under the name uncultured bacterium. RNAcentral describes it as "partial 16S ribosomal RNA". It matches the Rfam family "Bacterial small subunit ribosomal RNA", at positions 524 to 776 of the family's 1533-position model. The record is from RNAcentral.